Molecule: ribosomal RNA, 563 nt
Filed under: uncultured bacterium
Lineage: Bacteria
Description: bacterial SSU rRNA
Rfam family: Bacterial small subunit ribosomal RNA
Source: RNAcentral
AGUUUGAUCCUGGCUCAGGAUGAACGCUAGCUACAGGCUUAACACAUGCAAGUCGAGGGGCAGCAUAAACUAGCAAUAGUUUGAUGGCGACCGGCGCACGGGUGAGUAACACGUAUCCAACCUACCGUUCACUCGGGGAUAGCCUUCCGAAAGGAAGAUUAAUACCCGAUGGUAUGCGAGCAUCGCAUGGUGCUUUCAUUAAAGAAUUUCGGUGUUCGAUGGGGAUGCGUUCCAUUAGAUUGUUGGCGGGGUAACGGCCCACCAAGUCUUCGAUGGAUAGGGGUUCUGAGAGGAAGGUCCCCCACACUGGUACUGAGACACGGACCAGACUCCUACGGCAGGCAGCAGUGAGGAAUAUUGUUCAAUGGGCGCGAGCCUGAACCAGCAGAGUAGCGUGAAGCAUGACUGCUCUAUGGGGUGUAAACUUCUGUUAUACGGGAAUAACAGACUCUACGUGUAGAGUUUUGCAUGUACCGUUUUGAAUAAGCAUCGGCGUAACUCCGUGCCAGCAGCCCGCGGUAAUACGGAGGAUGCGAGCGUUAUCCGGGAUUUAUUGUGUUUAA